Molecule: ribosomal RNA, 549 nt
Filed under: uncultured bacterium
Lineage: Bacteria
Description: bacterial SSU rRNA
Rfam family: Bacterial small subunit ribosomal RNA
Source: RNAcentral
UGGGGAAUUUUGGACAAUGGGCGCAAGCCUGAUCCAGCCAUGCCGCGUGUCUGAAGAAGGCCUUCGGGUUGUAAAGGACUUUUGUCAGGGAAGAAAAGGCUGUUGCUAAUACCGACAGCUGAUGACGGUACCUGAAGAAUAAGCACCGGCUAACUAUGUGCCAGCAGCCGCGGUAAUACGUAGGGUGCGAGCGUUAAUCGGAAUUACUGGGCGUAAAGCGAGCGCAGACGGUUACUUAAGCAGGAUGUGAAAUCCCCGGGCUCAACCUGGGAACUGCGUUCUGAACUGGGUGACUAGAGUGUGUCAGAGGGAGGUAGAAUUCCACGUGUAGCAGUGAAAUGCGUAGAGAUGUGGAGGAAUACCGAUGGCGAAGGCAGCCUCCUGGGAUAACACUGACGUUCAUGCUCGAAAGCGUGGGUAGCGAACAGGAUUAGAUACCCUGGUAGUCUACGCCCUAAACGAUGUCAAUUAGCUGUUGGGCAACUUGAUUGCUUAGUAGCGUAGCUAACGCGUGAAAUUGACCGCCUGGGGAGUACGGUCGCAAGAUUA